This 298-nucleotide ribosomal RNA is filed under the name uncultured bacterium. RNAcentral's name for it is "partial 16S ribosomal RNA". It matches the Rfam family "Bacterial small subunit ribosomal RNA", at positions 338 to 628 of the family's 1533-position model. The record is from RNAcentral.
CCUACGGGAGGCAGCAGUAGGGAAUCUUCCACAAUGGACGAAAGUCUGAUGGAGCAACGCCGCGUGAGUGAAGAAGGGUUUCGGCUCGUAAAGGUCUUUUGGUAGUGAAGAAAGAUAGAGGUAGUAACUGGCCUUUAUUUGACGGUAAUUACUUAGAAAGUCACGGCUAACUACGUGCCAGCAGCCGCGGUAAUACGUAGGUGGCAAGCGUUGUCCGGAUUUAUUGGGCGUAAAGCGAGUGCAGGCGGUUCAAUAAGGCUGAUGUGAAAGGCUUCGGGUCAACCGGGGAAAUGCAUCA